UCAGCAGGUCAAAGAGAAGGGAGAGGACUAGGCCUAUUUUUAUCACAGGGUAACUGGACCUUGCUGCAGCUUCUCCUGGGCCCCACUGGGAGGAACCCCUUAAAUUCUGAUCUUCACGUGCUGCUGAAGCACUGGCCACAUGGAUGGAGGACAGAGGCCAGACAGCCCUUUCCUCUCAUGACUCUCACCAGAAGGCUUUGCUGCUCCUGAAAAUCGAGACAGGCAGUAGAAAAAACCUCAGAGGAAGACAUGGAAAAUCUGAGUAACAAAGGUGGACCUGUACACGUCGAGAGGCUAGUUAAGCUACUCCAGGUGUGGCUGCCGUGGCAUCCACUUUCCGUGGCCUGCAGGGAGCAUCAGGAACGCCUGGACCUCCUAUAAGGGCCAUGCGGAAUAGCCCACAGAGUCACCAGCAAAUGUCAGGUCCUGUUAGGACUUCCCCAACCCCCCUGUGAUCAGCAGUCCUCCCUGUCUCCCAGGACCAUGACCUUGUGCUGUCCUUAG
Molecule: long non-coding RNA, 504 nt
Filed under: Mustela putorius furo (domestic ferret)
Lineage: Eukaryota; Metazoa; Chordata; Mammalia; Carnivora; Mustelidae
Description: lncRNA (ENSMPUG00000031136.1)
Source: RNAcentral